Molecule: non-coding RNA, 73 nt
Organism: Pangasianodon gigas (Mekong giant catfish)
Lineage: Eukaryota; Metazoa; Chordata; Actinopteri; Siluriformes; Pangasiidae
Source: the annotation of a GenBank genome assembly
GGCAUGAUGGUUUAGUGGUUAGCACUGUUGCCUUGUACCUCUGGGAUUGGGGGUUCAAAUCCCCCCUCUACCC